Molecule: transfer RNA, 106 nt
Filed under: Nitrososphaerota archaeon
Lineage: Archaea; Thermoproteati; Nitrososphaerota
Description: tRNA-Arg
Rfam family: tRNA
About the family: Transfer RNA (tRNA) molecules are approximately 80 nucleotides in length. Their secondary structure includes four short double-helical elements and three loops (D, anti-codon, and T loops).
Source: RNAcentral
GGGCCCGUAGCCUAGGUGGAUAGGGAUAUCCAUGGUUGCCCCAAACACGGAUUAAGGCGUCAGCCUUCGGAGCUGAAGACCAUGGGUUCGAAUCCCACCGGGCCCG